GACGAACGCUGGCGGCGUGCCUAAUACAUGCAAGUUGAGCGCUGAAGGUUGGUACUUGUACCAACUGGAUGAGCAGCGAACGGGUGAGUAACGCGUGGGGAAUCUGCCUUUGAGCGGGGGACAACAUUUGGAAACGAAUGCUAAUACCGCAUAAAAACUUUAAACACAAGUUUUAAGUUUUAAAGAUGCAAUUGCAUCACUCAAAGAUGAUCCCGCGUUGUAUUAGCUAGUUGGUGAGGUAAAGGCUCACCAAGGCGAUGAUACAUAGCCGACCUGAGAGGGUGAUCGGCCACAUUGGGACUGAGACACGGCCCAAACUCCUACGGGAGGCAGCAGUAGGGAAUCUUCGGCAAUGGACGAAAGUCUGACCGAGCAACGCCGCGUGAGUGAAGAAGGGUUUCGGAUCGUAAAACUCUGUUGGUAGAGAAGAACGUUGGUGAGAGUGGAAAGCUCAUCAAGUGACGGUAACUACCCAGAAAGGGACGGCUAACUACGUG
Molecule: ribosomal RNA, 497 nt
Filed under: uncultured bacterium
Lineage: Bacteria
Description: partial 16S ribosomal RNA
Rfam family: Bacterial small subunit ribosomal RNA
Source: RNAcentral